AGAGUUUGAUCCUGGCUCAGGGUGAACGCUGGUAACGUGGAUACCGGCAUGCAAGUCGAGCGGCCAAGCACCUAGCAAUAGGUGCUCGGCAGCGGCGAACGGCUUAGUAACACGUAGAUACAAACCUCCAACACGGGCAUAACCCAUCGAAAGAUGGGCUAAUUCCCGAUAGUUCUCGUAAGAGUAAAUGGUGUCCGCAAGGAUUACCGGUUGGAGAUUGGUCUGCGGCCUAUCAGCUUGUUGGUGAGGUAAUGGCUCACCAAGGCUAUGACGGGUAGGGGGCGUGAGAGCGCGACCCCCAAGAAUGGCACUGCGACACGGGCCAUACUCCUACGGGAGGCUGCAGUCGAGAAUCUUCCGCAAUGGGCGAAAGCCUGACGGAGCGACGUUACGUGAAUGAAGAAGCUCUUCGGAGUGUAAAGUUCUUUUAUUUGGGAGGAAGCCGCAAGGCAGACAGUACCAAAUGAAUAAGGGGAUACUAAUUCUGUGCCAGCAGUAGCGGUAAGACAGAAUCCCCAAGCGUUACCCGGAUUUAUUGGGCGUAAAGGGUCCGUAGGUGGUAAAGUAAGUUUUGAGUUAAAACUCAUUGGCUUAACCUUUGAGCUGCUCAAAAUACUGCUUUACUAAGAGGGCGUUAGGGGUUAACGGAACCGACGGAGUAGGGGUGAAAUCCGUUGAUAUCGUCGGGAACACCAAAAGCGAAGGCAGUUAACUAGGACGACCCUGACACUGAGGGACGAAAGCGUGGGGAGCAAAAAGGAUUAGAUACCCUGGUAGUCC
Molecule: ribosomal RNA, 780 nt
Filed under: uncultured bacterium
Lineage: Bacteria
Description: bacterial SSU rRNA
Rfam family: Bacterial small subunit ribosomal RNA
Source: RNAcentral